This 253-nucleotide ribosomal RNA is filed under the name uncultured bacterium. Its description in RNAcentral is "partial 16S ribosomal RNA". It matches the Rfam family "Bacterial small subunit ribosomal RNA", at positions 524 to 776 of the family's 1533-position model. The record is from RNAcentral.
UACGAGUGCCCCGAGCGUUAUCCGGAAUUAUUGGGCGUAAAGGGUGUGUAGGCGGUUUUGUUAGUCUUAUGUUAAAGCUCUCGGCUCAACCGAGAAAGUGCAUGGGAAACGGCAAAACUAGAGGAUGCGAGAGGUGAACAGAACUCAUAGUGUAGGGGUGAAAUCCGUUGAUAUUAUGGGGAAUACCAAAUGCGAAGGCAGUUCACUGGCGCACUCCUGACGCUGAAACACGAAAGCGUGGGUAGCGAAUGGG